GCUUCAUAGCUCUAGUCCUAAUGUCAUCUACUAACCUUAGUAUCUAAGUCUCUUAGUCUAAUGUCUUAAUCCUCAGUCAGAACAUCUUUGGUACACCCAUGGAAUGAAUAGUAAUGACUGGCAUGGGCAGAGGUGAAGCCAUAUCCAUGAAAUGUAAGACUAUACAGAAAAUGUCAGAGAAAAAAGUAAUUUAAAAAACCUAUUAUGCUAGAAUAAAA
RNAcentral lists this long non-coding RNA (218 nucleotides) under Pan troglodytes (chimpanzee). RNAcentral's name for it is "long non-coding RNA NONPTRT015170". The record is from RNAcentral. Lineage: Eukaryota; Metazoa; Chordata; Mammalia; Primates; Hominidae.